GGGGGUGUAGCUCAGUGGUAGAGCAUUCGACUGCAGAUCGAGAGUUCCCCAGUUCAAUCCCGGGCGCCCCCU
This 72-nucleotide transfer RNA is filed under the name Penaeus chinensis. Its description in RNAcentral is "tRNA-Cys". It matches the Rfam family "tRNA". From Rfam's summary of the family: Transfer RNA (tRNA) molecules are approximately 80 nucleotides in length. Their secondary structure includes four short double-helical elements and three loops (D, anti-codon, and T loops). Lineage: Eukaryota; Metazoa; Arthropoda; Malacostraca; Decapoda; Penaeidae. The record is from RNAcentral.